GAGUUUGAUCGUGGCUCAGGAUGAACGCUGGCGGCGUGCUUAACACAUGCAAGUCGAACGGUCGCAAGACAGUGGCGCACGGGUGAGUAACACGUAGCUAACCUGCCUUCGAGUGCGGAAUAACGUCCCGAAAGGGAUGCUAAUACCGCAUAAGCUCACGGGAAGUAGAUGCCAGUGAGAAAAGGGGUAACUCGCUUGAAGAGGGGGCUGCGACCCAUCAGGUAGUUGGUGCGGUAAAAGCGCACCAAGCCGACGACGGGUAGGGGCCUGAGAGGGUGGUCCCCCACACUGGGACUGAGACACGGCCCAGACUCCUACGGGAGGCAGCAGUGAGGAAUAUUGCACAAUGGGCGAAAGCCUGAUGCAGCGACGCCGCGUGGGUGAAGAAGGUCUUCGGAUCGU
RNAcentral lists this ribosomal RNA (402 nucleotides) under uncultured Actinomycetes bacterium. RNAcentral's name for it is "bacterial SSU rRNA". It matches the Rfam family "Bacterial small subunit ribosomal RNA", at positions 9 to 426 of the family's 1533-position model. The record is from RNAcentral. Lineage: Bacteria; Bacillati; Actinomycetota; Actinomycetes.